Molecule: ribosomal RNA, 408 nt
Filed under: uncultured bacterium
Lineage: Bacteria
Description: bacterial SSU rRNA
Rfam family: Bacterial small subunit ribosomal RNA
Source: RNAcentral
AACGAACGCUGGCGGCAUGCCUAACACAUGCAAGUCGAACGAGACCUUCGGGUCUAGUGGCGCACGGGUGCGUAACGCGUGGGAACCUGCCUUUAGGUUCGGAAUAACUCAGAGAAAUUUGAGCUAAUACCGGAUAAUGUCUUCGGACCAAAGAUUUAUCGCCUUUAGAUGGGCCCGCGUUGGAUUAGCUAGUUGGUGGGGUAAAGGCCUACCAAGGCGACGAUCCGAUAGGCUGGUCUGAGAGGAUGAUCAGCCACACUGGGACUGAGACACGGCCCAGACUCCUACGGAGGCAGCAGUGGGAAUCUUAGACAAUGGGCGCAAGCCUGAUCUAGCCAUGCCCGCGUGAGCGAUGAAGGCCUUAGGGUUGUAAAGCUCUUUCAGAUGGGAAGAUAAUGACGGUACCAU